AGCAGCCGCGGUAAUUCCAGCUCCAAUAGCGUAUAUUAAAGUUGUUGCAGUUAAAAAGCUCGUAGUUGAAUUUCGGGAUUGGCGCAUCGGUCGUGCCUCACGGGGUAUGAACUGGUGCAGUCAAUUUCUCACCUUCUGGAAAACCGCGAUGUCCUUAAUUGGGUGCCGCGGGGAACCAGGACCUUUACUUUGAAAAAAUUAGAGUGUUUAAAGCAGGCAUUUUUGCUUGAAUACAUUAGCAUGGAAUAAUAAAAUAGGACGGCAUGGUUCUAUUUUGUUGGUUUCUAGGACCACCGUAAUGAUUAAUAGGGAUAGUUGGGGGCAUUAGUAUUCAAUUGUCAGAGGUGAAAUUCUUGGAUUUAUUGAAGACUAACUACUGCGAAAGCAUUUGCCAAGGAUGUUUUCAUUAAUCAAGAACGAAAGUUAGGGGAUCGAAGACGAUCAGAUACCGUCGUAGUCUUAACCAUAAACUAUGCCGACUAGGAAUCAGACGAUGUUAAUUUUUUAAUGACUCGUUUGG
This 520-nucleotide ribosomal RNA is filed under the name uncultured Entrophospora. RNAcentral describes it as "SSU rRNA". It matches the Rfam family "Eukaryotic small subunit ribosomal RNA", at positions 569 to 1083 of the family's 1831-position model. The record is from RNAcentral. Lineage: Eukaryota; Fungi; Glomeromycota; Glomeromycetes; Entrophosporales; Entrophosporaceae.